RNAcentral lists this ribosomal RNA (868 nucleotides) under Satsuma formosensis. Its description in RNAcentral is "eukaryotic LSU rRNA". The stretch from base 514 to 868 matches the Rfam family "Eukaryotic large subunit ribosomal RNA", at positions 1 to 353 of the family's 3401-position model. Lineage: Eukaryota; Metazoa; Mollusca; Gastropoda; Stylommatophora; Camaenidae. The record is from RNAcentral.
AAAUAUUGAAUGCAGAACACAUUGAACAUCGACAUCUUGAACGCACAUGGCGGCCUCGGGUCCGUCCCGAGGCCACGCCCGUCUGAGGGUCGGCAAGUCAGAUACGUAUUCGCUUCCUUUCGUGGCAUCAGGCUCCGUUCGGAAGGCAUCCGUCCUAUGUGGCUCCUUUCUGGCUCUGAUAAAGGCAGACGAGGCGGCAGCCGGACGGGUAGGGGCCGUGGAGGCGCAUUGGGUUUUCGCGGAUCUCUGUGAUCCCCGUGGCUCUAAGUGCACGCUGCGCUGUCUGUCCGUCCCACUCGUAAGUCGUGCUCGGACGAGCGAGUGGGUAGGACGUUUCUCGUUCUCUUAACGACGCCGCCGCCGACGUGCUGGACUCGGAUUGAUCGGAUAUCAUCGAGCCGCCGGCGAGCUGCAGGUGUCGGAACAGUGAGGGGGAAAACAAAUAACGUUUGUGGCGGCGCCCAGUUCAGGCAGUGAGACCAAGCACGCGCCUUGUGUCGUUACUAGCAUAUCCGACCUCAGAUCGGACGAGAUUACCCGCUGAAUUUAAGCAUAUAACUAAGCGGAGGAAAAGAAACUAACAAGGAUUCCCUUAGUAACGGCGAGUGAAGCGGGAAUAGCCCAGCACCGAAUCCCUCAGUGUCAUGCUGACGGGAACUGUGGUGUGUGGGACGCCACCAGUCGCAUCAGAGGGCGCCGAAGUCCUCCUGAUCGGGGCUUCACCCAGAGCGGGUGUAAGGCCUUUGCAGGUGCCUCUCUGUGCGGCCGCGAGCGUCUCAGGAGUCGGGUUGUUUGGGAAUGCAGCCCAAAGCGGGUGGUAAACUCCAUCUAAGGCUAAAUACUGGCACGAGUCCGAUAGCGGACAUCG